Molecule: ribosomal RNA, 465 nt
Filed under: uncultured Klebsiella sp.
Lineage: Bacteria; Pseudomonadati; Pseudomonadota; Gammaproteobacteria; Enterobacterales; Enterobacteriaceae
Description: bacterial SSU rRNA
Rfam family: Bacterial small subunit ribosomal RNA
Source: RNAcentral
CCUACGGGGGGCUGCAGUGGGGGAUAUUGCACAAUGGGCGCAAGCCUGAUGCAGCCAUGCCGCGUGUGUGAAGAAGGCCUUCGGGUUGUAAAGCACUUUCAGCGGGGAGGAAGGCGGUGAGGUUAAUAACCUCAUCGAUUGACGUUACCCGCAGAAGAAGCACCGGCUAACUCCGUGCCAGCAGCCGCGGUAAUACGGAGGGUGCAAGCGUUAAUCGGAAUUACUGGGCGUAAAGCGCACGCAGGCGGUCUGUCAAGUCGGAUGUGAAAUCCCCGGGCUCAACCUGGGAACUGCAUUCGAGACUGGCAGGCUAGAGUCUUGUAGAGGGGGGUAGAAUUCCAGGGGUAGCGGUGAAAUGCGUAGAGAUCUGGAGGAAUACCGGUGGCGAAGGCGGCCCCCUGGACAAAGACUGACGCUCAGGUGCGAAAGUGUGGGGAGCAAACAGGAUUAGAUACCCCAGUAGUC